RNAcentral lists this ribosomal RNA (444 nucleotides) under uncultured bacterium. RNAcentral's name for it is "partial 16S ribosomal RNA". It matches the Rfam family "Bacterial small subunit ribosomal RNA", at positions 338 to 795 of the family's 1533-position model. The record is from RNAcentral.
CCUACGGGAGGCAGCAGUGGGGAAUAUUGGGCAAUGGAGGCAACUCUGACCCAGCAAUGCCGCGUGAAUGAAGAAGGUUUUCGGAUUGUAAAGUUCUUUAAUUGGGGACGAAAAAAAUGACGGUACCCAAGGAAUAAGCCCCGGCUAACUACGUGCCAGCCGCCGCGGUAAAACGUAGGGGGCAAGCGUUGUGCGGAAUGACUGGGCGUAAAGGGUGUGUAGGCGGUGUAGCAAGGUAGAAGUGAAAAACCUAGGGCUUAACUCAAGUGCUGCUUAUGAAACUGCUAUACUUGAGUGCAGUAGAGGAAAGUGGAAUUCCUAGUGUAGCGGUGAAAUGCGUAGAUAUUAGGAGGAACAUCAGUGGCGAAGGCGACUUUCUGGACUGUAACUGACGCUGAGGCACGAAAGUGUGGGGAGCAAACAGGAUUAGAUACCCCAGUAGUC